AUUGAACGCUGGCGGCAUGCCUUACACAUGCAAGUCGAACGGUAACAGGUCUUCGGAUGCUGACGAGUGGCGAACGGGUGAGUAAUACAUCGGAACGUGCCUAGUAGUGGGGGAUAACUACUCGAAAGAGUGGCUAAUACCGCAUGAGAUCUACGGAUGAAAGCAGGGGAUCGCAAGACCUUGUGCUACUAGAGCGGCCGAUGGCAGAUUAGGUAGUUGGUGGGAUAAAAGCUUACCAAGCCGACGAUCUGUAGCUGGACUGGGAGGACGAUCAGCCACACUGGGACAGAGACACGGCCAAGACUCCUACGGGAGGCAGCAGUGGGGAAUUGUGGACAAUGGGCGAAAGCCUGAUCCAGCAAUGCCGCGUGCAGGAUGAAGGCCUUCGGGUUGUAAACUGCUUUUGUACGGAACGAAAAGCCCCGGGUUAAUACCCUGGGGUCAUGACGGGACCGUAAGAAUAAGCACCGGCUAACUACGUGCCAGCCGCCGCAGUAA
Molecule: ribosomal RNA, 498 nt
Filed under: uncultured bacterium
Lineage: Bacteria
Description: partial 16S ribosomal RNA
Rfam family: Bacterial small subunit ribosomal RNA
Source: RNAcentral